ACGAUGGGAGCUUGCUCCCAGGCGUCGAGUGGCGGACGGGUGAGUAAUACUUAGGAAUCUACCCAGUAGCGGGGGACAACUCGGGGAAACUCGAGCUAAUACCGCAUACGCUCUACGGAGGAAAGCAGGGGAUCUUCGGACCUUGCACUAUUGGAUGAGCCUAAGUCGGAUUAGCUUGUUGGUGAGGUAAAGGCUCACCAAGGCGACGAUCCGUAGCUGGUCUGAGAGGACGAUCAGCCACACUGGGACUGAGACACGGCCCAGACUCCUACGGGAGGCAGCAGUGGGGAAUAUUGGACAAUGGGGGCAACCCUGAUCCAGCAAUGCCGCGUGUGUGAAGAAGGCCUGCGGGUUGUAAAGCACUUUCAGUAGAGAAGAAAAGCCUAGGGUUAAUACCCCUGAGUCCUGACGUUACCUACAGAAGAAGCUCCGGCUAACUCCGUGCCAGCAGCCGCGGUAAUACGGAGGGAGCGAGCGUUAAUCGGAAUUACUGGGCGUAAAGCGCACGUAGGCGGCUUUGUAAGUCGGAUGUGAAAGCCCCGGGCUUAACCUGGGAAUGGCAUUCGAUACUGCAGAGCUAGAGUAUGGUAGAGGGAAGUGGAAUUUCCGGUGUAGCGGUGAAAUGCGUAGAUAUCGGAAGGAACACCGAUGGUGAAGGCAACUUCCUGGGCCAAUACUGACGCUGAGGUGCGAAAGCGUGGGUAGCAAACAGGAUUAGAUACCCUGGUAGUCCACGCCGUAAACGAUGAGAACUAGAUGUCGGGGAGGAUCUGCCCUUUCGGUGUCGCAGCUAACGCGUUAAGUUCUCCGCCUGGGGAGUACGCCGGCAACGGUA
Molecule: ribosomal RNA, 835 nt
Filed under: uncultured bacterium
Lineage: Bacteria
Description: bacterial SSU rRNA
Rfam family: Bacterial small subunit ribosomal RNA
Source: RNAcentral